GUCGAGCGCCGCGACCUCCAUUCCGAUCUGCUGUCUCCAUCUCCGUUCGCGAAGCAAGACCGCGUCGCUGCCAGUCCAGAUCUGCGUUGCAGUCGUCCCGCGCGCCGAUCUGCCGUCUCCAUCUCCGUUCGCGAAGCAAAACCGCGCCGCUCGCCGAACCCAACCGCCGCCGCUCGCCGAACCCAACCGCCACCCUCUCUUUUCUCCUUCGGAUCGAAACCGCCGCGCCCAUCCACCUGUAACUGCCGCGCAACCUUCAUUCCAACUGCUGCACUGCCGCGCGAUUCUCCGACCACGUCUCCUUUAGCCGACCGCUGACCGACCCACACUUAGGAUUUUGCUGCGAGUUCGACAGUCGUGCGUUGAGGUGUUGGGAGUAACCUUGGGCUCCCUUAAAUUCACAACCAAUUUGUGAAUUGUUGAGGGUUCAGUUCGCCAGUAUUUCGGAUUUGAUUCAUUGGAUUUAGUAGAUUGAAGAAUUUGCAUAGAAAUCGAGGUAA
Molecule: long non-coding RNA, 500 nt
Organism: Cucumis sativus (cucumber)
Lineage: Eukaryota; Viridiplantae; Streptophyta; Magnoliopsida; Cucurbitales; Cucurbitaceae
Exons: 2
Source: RefSeq, a predicted model, not a curated record